Molecule: microRNA, 21 nt
Filed under: Manihot esculenta (cassava)
Lineage: Eukaryota; Viridiplantae; Streptophyta; Magnoliopsida; Malpighiales; Euphorbiaceae
Description: mes-miR399h
Gene: mes-miR399h
Source: miRBase by way of RNAcentral
GGGCACCUCUCGCUUGGCAGG